CUCAGAACGAACGCUGGCGGCGCGCCUAAUACAUGCAAGUCGAGCGAGAAGGUGUAGCAAUACACUUGUAAAGCGGCGAACGGGGUGAGGAAUGCAUGGGUAACCUACCCUCGAGUGGGAAUAACUAGCCGAAAGGUUAGCUAAUACCGCAUACGUUUCCGGAACUUCGGUUUCGGAAAGAAAGCAAUACCGUGGGUAUUGCGCUCCUGGAUGGGCUCAUGUCCUAUCAGCUUGUUGGUGAGGUAACGGCUCACCAAGGCUUCGACGGGUAGCUGGUCUGAGAGGACGAUCAGCCACACUGGCACUGCGACACGGGCCAGACUCCUACGGGAGGCAGCAGUAAGGAAUAUUGCGCAAUGGACGAAAGUCUGACGCAGCGACGCCGCGUGGGGGAUGAAGGUCUUCGGAUUGUAAACCCCUUUCGGGAGGGAAGAUGGAGUGGGUAACCACUUGGACGGUACCUCCAGAAGCAGCCACGGCUAACUUCGUG
Molecule: ribosomal RNA, 490 nt
Filed under: uncultured bacterium
Lineage: Bacteria
Description: bacterial SSU rRNA
Rfam family: Bacterial small subunit ribosomal RNA
Source: RNAcentral